GAUCAUGGCUCAGGAUGAACGCUAGCUACAGGCUUAACACAUGCAAGUCGCGGGGCAGCAUGAAGGAUGCUUGCAUCUUUUGAUGGCGACCGGCGCACGGGUGAGUAACGCGUAUCCAACCUGCCUGUUACCACGGCACAGCCCGUCGAAAGGCGGAUUAAUGCCGUAUGUGGUCCUUUGCGGGCAUCUAAUUAAGGACUAAAGGUUACGGGCGGUAACGGGAAUGGGGAGUGCGUCCGAUUAG
RNAcentral lists this ribosomal RNA (244 nucleotides) under uncultured bacterium. Its description in RNAcentral is "partial 16S ribosomal RNA". It matches the Rfam family "Bacterial small subunit ribosomal RNA", at positions 15 to 244 of the family's 1533-position model. The record is from RNAcentral.